GUAUAUAGUUUUAUAGGCACAAUGGCCCAUUGAUUACAUUCUUUAACAUACUAUGUGGGUAUAUGCAAAACAUAGAACCAGAAGAGAUGGCGACCUUAAUUGCAGAAGGAAUUGCUUCACUUCACACGUUAGGGCCUAAUGUCAUACUCUUCCAAGGACUACAAAGGGUGCACAGAGGGAUAAAUAAAGACAGCAGGUGUGCACAAUGCUUCAAGAAGCCAGCUACAACCCACCAUACUUAUUCAAUAAUGAUCCUUCCGCAGGUUCACCUACGGAAA
This 278-nucleotide unclassified non-coding RNA is filed under the name uncultured fungus. Its description in RNAcentral is "sequence contains ITS1". The record is from RNAcentral. Lineage: Eukaryota; Fungi.